Molecule: ribosomal RNA, 637 nt
Filed under: uncultured bacterium
Lineage: Bacteria
Description: bacterial SSU rRNA
Rfam family: Bacterial small subunit ribosomal RNA
Source: RNAcentral
GCCUUCGGUAAAGAGCGGGAACGGGUGAGUAACACGUGAGCAAUCUGCCCUCCACAUCGGGAUACCCCGGAAACGGGAGCUAAGUACCGGAUACGACCACUUCAGGCAUCUGAUGGUGGUGGAAAGUUCUGGCGGUGGAGGAUGAGCUCGCGGCCUAUCAGCUUGUUGGUGAGGUAAUGGCCCACCAAGGCUUCGACGGGUAGCCGGCUUGAGAGGGUGACCGGCCACACUGGGACUGAGACACGGCCCAGACUCCUACGGGAGGCAGCAGUGGGGAAUAUUGGACAAUGGGCGAAAGCCUGAUCCAGCAACGCCGCGUGAGGGAUGACGGCCUUCGGGUUGUAAACCUCUUUCAGCGCAGACGAAGCGAAAGUGACGGUAUGCGCAGAAGAAGCACCGGCCAACUACGUGCCAGCAGCCGCGGUAAUACGUAGGGUGCGAGCGUUGUCCGGAAUUAUUGGGCGUAAAGGGCUCGUAGGCGGUUUGUCACGGUCAGGAGUGAAAACUCGGGGCUCAACCCCGAGCCUGCUUCUGAUACGGGGCAGACUGGAGGUAUUGCCAGGGGAGAACGGGAAUUUCCUGGGUUGUAGCCGGUGGAAAUGCGCAGAUUUUCCAGGGAGGAAACACCGGGUGGGCG